GUGUAUUACAUUAGUGCUUGCUAUUCAAAUCCUUGCAACUUUUUAGACUUGUACAUUGCAGACCAUCUAAAUAACUCAGCAAAAGCAAAACCUGCCUUGAGGCACUCUGUCCUCAGGUGAAUUUAAAUUUUGAAAAGGGGAGAUUAUUCUGACACAGUUUAAAGGCUUUUCUCCAAAAUCUGUCACAGGUAACAACUGUGUCCAGGCAGAAGUUCAUUCCUUCCACUAUGACAAAGAAGACAGACCAAAGAGAUCCAGUUCACACACUGAGCAUGCCUUGACUUCACUCAAAAAAGAACUGAAUUACAGGCACGGUCUUCGACAAGUGUUCUGAGAGGAGCAUGCAUAAGAUGCUAAGGAAACACAGAGGAAAAUCAUCUGAAAAAAGAAUAUAUGGUCAAGAAAGGUAAAAACUCUAACAAGCUUCCUAGAGGAGUGACUCUUCAGCCACGUUCUAAAGGAUGAAUAGGAGGUAACUAUAUGAAUAGAACCAGAACACCACUCCGGAGAAGGAAGAGUUUGGGGCAAGUCUCCAAAGCCAGAGGUUCCAUGACGCACAUUGAAGGAGACUUGGUGUAAGGAGAGGAAAAGACACUGCCUGUGCAAAAUGGCACUGGAGAGCUGGGUAGUGUAUGGAAGGAAGAAUGAAGAUGAAGACCCACGCUUCAUAGGACUCAGCCUGCCAGCUGACUGUGUACUGUAAUGCACCAGUAUUAAAAACGAAUAUCUUUUAGUCACCUUCCAUGAGCUCCUUUGGAUAACAGUAUUGCCUCCAGAAACCCAUUGAAUGUGUUGCCCACCGAGAUCACCCAACAUCACAUUUGCAUGGAUGAGUUCGUUAGAGUAAAAGUGAUCAGGGCAGAGAGCUAGUGGGGUCAGACAGGGCCCAGGAAGAUCCUAAUGGUGGGGAACAUGGUCCUGGGGUGUAAGUCUAAAAUAUAGACCUGAACCCUAACUUAGUAAAGUUCUAAAUGGGAUAGCUCAGUUUAGGUGUGCAGAAAAGAGAGCAUCCACCAAAACAAAAUUUUUUUUUAAUUUUUAUUUAUUUAUUUAUUUGAGAGAAAGAGACAGAAAGAGCGACAGAGAGCACAAGUAGGGAGGAGAGGAAGAAGCAGGCUCCCUACUGAGCGGGAAGCCUGACUCAGGGCUUGAUCCCAGGAACCUGGGAUCACGACCUGAGCCGAAGGCAGACGCUCAACCAUCUGGGCCACCCAGGCGCCCCUCACCAAAAAAUGUUUUAAUAAAUUUAAAUAAAUAAAAAUAUUAGAUCA
RNAcentral lists this long non-coding RNA (1271 nucleotides) under Ursus maritimus (polar bear). RNAcentral's name for it is "lncRNA (ENSUMAG00000020447.1)". Lineage: Eukaryota; Metazoa; Chordata; Mammalia; Carnivora; Ursidae. The record is from RNAcentral.